UUACUCGUUUCGGCGGUACAUAUACUAAAAUUGGAACGAUACAGAGAUUAGCAUGGUCCCUGCUCAAGGAUGACACGCAAAAUCGUUUAGUUGCGCUUAGUUUU
This 104-nucleotide small nuclear RNA is filed under the name Schistosoma haematobium. Lineage: Eukaryota; Metazoa; Platyhelminthes; Trematoda; Strigeidida; Schistosomatidae. The record is from RNAcentral.